GUCCAAGGUAGCCUAGUGGACAUGGCAUCUGCCCGGUAAGCGGAACACAGUGGGUUCGAUUCCCAUCCCUGGACA
RNAcentral lists this transfer RNA (75 nucleotides) under Cordylochernes scorpioides. RNAcentral describes it as "tRNA-Thr". It matches the Rfam family "tRNA". From Rfam's summary of the family: Transfer RNA (tRNA) molecules are approximately 80 nucleotides in length. Their secondary structure includes four short double-helical elements and three loops (D, anti-codon, and T loops). Lineage: Eukaryota; Metazoa; Arthropoda; Arachnida; Pseudoscorpiones; Chernetidae. The record is from RNAcentral.